AUUGAACGCUGGCGGCAGGCCUAACACAUGCAAGUCGAGCGGAUGAAGGGAGCUUGCUCCUGGAUUCAGCGGCGGACGGGUGAGUAAUGCCUAGGAAUCUGCCUGGUAGUGGGGGAUAACGUCCGGAAACGGGCGCUAAUACCGCAUACGUCCUGAGGGAGAAAGUGGGGGAGCUUCGGACCUCACGCUAUCAGAUGAGCCUAGGUCGGAUUAGCUAGUUGGUGGGGUAAAGGCCUACCAAGGCGACGAUCCGUAACUGGUCUGAGAGGAUGAUCAGUCACACUGGAACGGGGACACGGUCCAGACUCCUACGGGAGGCAGCAGUGUGGAAUAUUGGACAAUGGGCGAAAGCCUGAUCCAGCCAUGCCGCGUGUGUGAAGAAGGUCUUCGGAUUGUAAAGCACUUUAAGUUGGGAGGAAGGGCAGUAAGUUAAUACCUUGCUGUUUUGACGUUACCAACAGAAUAAGCACCGGCUAACUUCGUG
Molecule: ribosomal RNA, 484 nt
Filed under: uncultured bacterium
Lineage: Bacteria
Description: partial 16S ribosomal RNA
Rfam family: Bacterial small subunit ribosomal RNA
Source: RNAcentral